AUGAAGGUUUGGAUCAGAUCCUUGAAGAGUUAUGUAAGUAUUUACCAAUUUUAUUUUAUUAAUUCAAUGAUUAAUAAUAAUAAUAAUAACGACAAUAACGUUGCUAUCAUUCCAAUAGUUGAUGAGAACGUGUUGUUUGCUUGUGAUGAACCCGGUGCUGUUAAUAACGACGAGCAAGAUGUUGGCAGCAAUCAGGAGCUGAUAACCCCUCCAGAAAACGUUGCGCAAGAAGUUGAGAUUAGCACCGAAUCACAACACGCCCUAGGACACGUCACAAAGCCUGCCUCCGCCGACGCGCCGGAUCCCGAGGGUGAUUCUCACAAUCUCCCAGAUGUCUCAAACGUACGCACCGAAGCUAGCGUUACGUGUAGAGUACGACAUUCGGAGGGCCAGGGAGUGAAACGUCUGAGGUUACCGGAGUGGGGAACAGACGAUGUACCAAGCACCAGUCGUUUAAGGACUUCGGAGAAUAACGAGCAGCGAUAUGAUGAAGGAGGGGUGACAGCUUGGAGCGAUUCUAUGGUGAGCGCGUGGGAUCGUGCGUCUUUUAGCGAUUCGGCAAGCGAAGAGGAGACGGAAGAAUUGCCUAACGAAGACCCUCAAGAGCUGUUCCGUGAACGUGACUUAAAUAGAAGGCUUGAUUAUGAUAUGCUUCGCCGUGUUAAUCGACGGUUUGGCACACUUUUCGAUUUGAGCGGUCAAGCAUUGUCCUAUCGAGGUGCAGAAGAGAUCGUGGGUAAUGCUCAAAGUGAUGUGGUAGCGAUUUUGAGGAACAUCAUCGAAUGCCAACAACAGCUGAACGAAUCCUUACGUCAUGCAGCCGAAUUUUGGAGGAGUUGUCACGAUCAACUAUAUGGUGAAUUUCGUCAGUUUCAACAACGUAUGAACGGGGUACCGGGAGAAAUCCAUCAGGUACAAGUUGAACAAAACUUAAUUGUUAACGCUCUUACUCUGAUCAGUGAACGUUUAAAUCUAAUGCAAAGAAUGUUAUCAGAUUUGUACCGACGUGAUCAUCCUUGAUAUGUAUUGUCUUGUUGUUUUUAGUAUUAUUAAUUUUUAAAAAAAAAAAAAUUUUGGCUUGGAAAAAAAAAAAAAUAUUGUUUUUUUAUUUCUUACACGUAUUAUUGUUUUGUUCUAGGUAGUGAAUUGCCAUUAGUUUUUCAUUUAUUAAUAUUGUCUGUUGGGGGUGCUUUAUAUCAUAUGGUAUGUUAUUGUGUCCCACAUUAGCGGGGUUGUUUUACUUGUGGAGAAAAUAUAUGGUUUUGAAUUAUAACAGUUGUAUGUUUCUGUUUUGUCAUCUAUAUCGCAUUGUGAACUGGUGUUGGUGUUUUCAGGAGUAUGCACGCUCGUCUUUAAAUUUAAAAAAAAAAAAAAAAAAAGGUGUUUUCGCUUUUAAAUAAAUAAAAUAAUAAUUCAAAAUGAGUAGUAAAAGAUGUCACGAUGAUUUACAUACCCACGGUUCAGAAGAUGAUCAGAGACCAUUAAGACCCAGAUAUGAUUUUCAAAACAAUACACAACAGUUACACGAAAUUAUUAACAAUCAUUUACACAUGUUACCGCCUAAUCCUCUAACAUGAUAGAUAGAUUACACGAGCUAAUAGACGAACAACACGAAUGGUUGGGAGCCGCUGUAGACAGCGAUGUCCAGAUCGGUGCUGGAACUCCUAAUAACGAUCCCUCAGGUUAUGAUCCCACAGCUCCAGAUAUGGGUCUCAGUCAGCAUUACAUAGAUAGACUAGUGAGAGAAGGAGGUAGUGUGGGUGAUUUUUACGAUUGUCCCAAGACCUCGAUUUAAAUGGUUUAGAAAUUCGCAGAACUUUAAAUUUUCGUGAAAUAGCGACAGAUGAUUUUGCAGCAUACAAUAUAUUUUUACAUGAUAUUUUGAACGAGAUUGUUACACUUUCCAGAUUAUUAGCUGGCGAUGGGGGUUUUUUUAACAUCUCCCUGCAAGGUGCAAGUCUGCCCACUGAUAUUAAUGCAGUUCUAACGCCUGAUAACAAUCAUGACGUUAAUGUAUUUGUAGACCAAAUCGAACGAACCGUUCAAAGCAAUACGGAUGUAGCUUUUGAUACCGCUUUAGAGUUACGUGUCUCUGUAGCGCGAAACAAACAAGGCGGUGGUCGUAGGAAGUUGGCUGAUCUGGCACAUAACCAGGUCAUACAGAAAAAUAGAAUGCAUUUGUUUGCCCCCAAAAAUGUCACAGACCAUAUGUGUUUUAGCAUGUGUAUAGCGCACUUUCUAAAUCCACAGUGUACCGAUGCAGAAUUGAUGACAUUAGCUAGAAUAUACAUACCGAUCUGGGUUAUGAUCCACAAGACAAAAUUGCGUUGCAUGAUGUUUCUAAAUUUGAAACCCUUCUAGACUUGAAAAUAGUUAUCUUUCACAGAUCAGGUUCAGGUAAAUUGGAAGUGUAUAAAAAUACGGACGAGCUGCAUCACAAGACGCUGCAUUUGUACCUGCAUGAAGAACAUUUUUAUGGGAUAAAAAAUCUGAAAGGUUUCUUAGGAUACGCGUAUGUUUGUGAGUACUGCUAUCGAGGGUUUAGUGAUCGUAGUCUACAUCAUUGCAAAUUUACAUGUAACGUAUGCAUGAACAUAUCUUGCUACACGCAUCCCAAGAAAUCGGUGCAAUGCGAUGAUUGCUUGAGAUACUGUAGAUCUGAUUUCUGCUAUGAAAUGCAUAAACAAGCAAAAAGUGACGGAUCAAAGUCUCAGUGUGAUAGCAUAAAAUACUGUGAUAAAUGUUACAGACAGUACAGAGCAAAAUGGACCGGUGAUAAGCUAUUAACGCACAAAUGUGCACCAAUCCAGAUGUGUUCACUGUGCGAAGUUCUCAUGGGUGAAGAUCAGCACUGUUGCUAUAUUCAACCAGCCAAGCCUAGUGAACAUAGUCAAGACUAUAUUUAUUUUGACUUUGAGACGAUGUAUGAAGACGGUCGUCAUAAGGCAAAUUAUGUUUGUGCAAUAACGCAAGCUGGGGAUGAGUUUUCGGCGGAAGGUGUAGAUUGUGUGGAUCAGAUGGUCAAGCAUUUCAGACGACCGAAAUUUGCGGGUUUCACAUUUAUCGCACACAAUUCUUCAGGUUUCGACUCUUUUAUACUGCUAGAGUAUUUUACUAGUCAGGGACUAACACCAAAAUCAUACUCCAAGGCUGUAGACUUGUUUACAUGUACGAUCAUGCCUUUAAACAGAGAUACAUCGACAGCUAUAGCUUCUUGCCCAUGAAAUUGUCAAAAUGACCUCUGCUUUAAACUUAAACACCAGCGAAAAAGGAUAUUUUCCACAUCAUUUUAAUCGCUUGCAGAAUGCAAAACUAUAUCGGUCCGUAUCCGUCAAAAGAUUAUUACGGAUAUCAGACGAUGGUCUGACGCUGAACGUGUGAAAUUUGAUUCGUGGCAUGAGGGUGUAGCAGGAGAGGUGUUUUGACUUCAAAAAGCAACUAGCAUUGUACUGUAAGAAUGACGUUGUUUUGCUACGUGAAGGCUGUAUGAAAUACAGAAAAGAGUUUAUAGAAUGUACCAACGUAGAUCCUUUCGGAUGUAUAACAUUAGCCGGCUGUG
Molecule: long non-coding RNA, 3559 nt
Organism: Carassius auratus (goldfish)
Lineage: Eukaryota; Metazoa; Chordata; Actinopteri; Cypriniformes; Cyprinidae
Source: Ensembl